UGGGUAGUCCGCACGAGCGCACCUCACUUUUAGUUGCCACCAUUUAGUUGGGCACUCUGAAAGAACUGCCAGUGAUAAGCUGGAGGAAGGUGGGGAUGACGUCAAGUCCUCAUGGCCCUUAUGUGUUGGGCUACACACGUGCUACAAUGGAUGGUACAGAGGGUCGCCAACCCGCGAGGGGGAGCUAAUCCCAUAAAACCAUUCGUAGUCCGGAUCGCAGUCUGCAACUCGACUGCGUGAAGUCGGAAUCGCUAGUAAUCGCGGAUCAGAAUGUCGCGGUGAAUACGUUCCCGGGUCUUGUACACACCGCCCGUCACACCAUGGGAGCGGGUUCUGCCAGAAGUAGUUAGCCUAACCGCAAGGAGGGUGAUUACCACGGCAGGGUUCGUGACUGGGGUGAAGUCGUAACAAGGUAGCCGUAUCGGAAGGUGCGGCUGGAUCACCUCCUUUCU
This 452-nucleotide ribosomal RNA is filed under the name uncultured Gammaproteobacteria bacterium. RNAcentral describes it as "bacterial SSU rRNA". It matches the Rfam family "Bacterial small subunit ribosomal RNA", at positions 1077 to 1533 of the family's 1533-position model. Lineage: Bacteria; Pseudomonadati; Pseudomonadota; Gammaproteobacteria. The record is from RNAcentral.